GGAGAGGUGCCAGAGUGGUUGAUUGGGCCGGUCUCGAAAACCGGUGUACCCGCAAGGGUACCGAGGGUUCAAAUCCCUCCCUCUCCG
Molecule: transfer RNA, 87 nt
Filed under: Candidatus Raymondbacteria bacterium RifOxyA12_full_50_37
Lineage: Bacteria; Candidatus Raymondiibacteriota
Also listed under: 4 other names
Description: tRNA-Ser
Rfam family: tRNA
About the family: Transfer RNA (tRNA) molecules are approximately 80 nucleotides in length.
Source: RNAcentral